CAAACCAAAGCUGGCGACCGGCACACGGGUGAGUAACACGUAUCCAACCUGCCUCAUACUCGGGGAUAGCCUUUCGAAAGAAAGAUUAAUAUCCGAUAGCAUAUAUUUCCCGCAUGGGUUUUAUAUUAAAGAAAUUCGGUAUGAGAUGGGGAUGCGUUCCAUUAGUUUGUUGGGGGGGUAACGGCCCACCAAGACUACGAUGGAUAGGGGUUCUGAGAGGAAGGCCCCCACAUUGGAACUGAGACACGGUCCAA
RNAcentral lists this ribosomal RNA (254 nucleotides) under uncultured bacterium. Its description in RNAcentral is "partial 16S ribosomal RNA". It matches the Rfam family "Bacterial small subunit ribosomal RNA", at positions 74 to 334 of the family's 1533-position model. The record is from RNAcentral.